RNAcentral lists this ribosomal RNA (253 nucleotides) under uncultured bacterium. RNAcentral describes it as "partial 16S ribosomal RNA". It matches the Rfam family "Bacterial small subunit ribosomal RNA", at positions 524 to 776 of the family's 1533-position model. The record is from RNAcentral.
UAGAGAGGGUGCGAGCGUUAAUCGGAAUUACUGGGCGUAAAGCGCACGUAGGCGGCUUUGCAUGUCGGGUGUGAAAUCCCCGGGCUCAACCUGGGAACUGCAUCCGAAACUGCCUUGCUCGAGUAUGGGAGAGGGAAGUGGAAUUUCCGGUGUAGCGGUGAAAUGCGUAGAUAUCGGAAGGAACAUCAGUGGCGAAGGCGACUUCCUGGACCAAUACUGACGCUCAGGUGCGAAAGCGUGUGGAGCAAACAGG